This is a long non-coding RNA of Oxyura jamaicensis (ruddy duck), 378 nucleotides long. RefSeq lists it as uncharacterized. The transcript has 4 exons. NCBI's taxonomy places the organism in Eukaryota, Metazoa, Chordata, Aves, Anseriformes, Anatidae. The record is from RefSeq and is a predicted model, not a curated record.
GCGAGCUCCUGCGCGCGGUAGCACUAGGGCUAUCCACGGCUGGUAUCGGAGUGGGAUCCGACAUGGGAGGCGAGCGCCGGGGAGCUGCACCCCACCAGCAGCUGGCUUAAGAUAUGGUCCUGGUCUGCUCUGGUCUCACUGAACUUUGAUCUGCCUUCAUAUAAUUGCAAGCCCAGACCCUGAAGAUGCUGAACUCUCAUGGGAACUCUCCAAUCGAGAGCAUUAACAAAGAGUGAUCAAUAGGGGAGAUUUCCAGCAGACCUACAUAGGAGACAUGGGAAAUCAGGGAGACAAAGUGCUGUGCUCUGAAGGAGUUUGUGGUGUCAGUUCUGUGCUCACCCAGAGGUUCCCAUCCUUGGUGUGGUGUGGAUCCCCAUG